Molecule: ribosomal RNA, 415 nt
Filed under: uncultured microorganism
Description: bacterial SSU rRNA
Rfam family: Archaeal small subunit ribosomal RNA
Source: RNAcentral
GUGCAGCAGUCGAGAAAACUUCACAAUGUGCGAAAGCACGAUGAGGGAAUCCCAAGUGCUUGCACGUAAGUGUAAGCUGUUUCUCUGUCUAAAACGCAGAGAGAGUAAGGGCUGGGUAAGACGGGUGCCAGCCGCCGCGGUAAUACCUGCAGCUCGAGUGGUGACCGUUAUUAUUGGGCCUAAAACGUCCGUAGCCGGUUUAAUAAAUGCCUGGGUAAAUCGGACCGCUUAACGGUUCGAAUUCCGGGUAGACUGUUAAACUUGAGACCGGGAGAAGUUAGAGGUACUCCUGGGGUAGAGGUGAAAUUCUGUAAUCCUAGGGGGACCACCAGUGGCGAAGGCGUCUAACUAGAACGGGUCUGACGGUGAGGGACGAAGCCCUGGGGCGCAAACGGGGAUUAGAUACCCGGAUAGU